Paramuricea clavata is the source of this 2400-nucleotide non-coding RNA. Lineage: Eukaryota; Metazoa; Cnidaria; Anthozoa; Malacalcyonacea; Plexauridae. The record is from the annotation of a GenBank genome assembly.
CAAACAUUGAUUAAACAUUCAUUUCUUUUGCAUUCUCCUCUUGAAUUAUUAAUGAAUUUUUUUAAAUGUAAUUAAAAAACUCAUUAAUAAUUCAUGAAGAAAACACAAAGAAAAAUCAUAAGCGUGUCGUAUCUGUAUAUGUGAUACAGAUUCAUGUUGAUUUACAUAAACUUUAACUUUGAUUUUCUCGGCUUAGACAACGAUUAUUUUUAAAAUUACUUCGCCAAUGAACUCAUGAGAUGAGUCGUUUUUUAAGCCAUUUACAACAUUCGCGUUCGUGUUGUAUCGGAUAUACAAGCUCUCGCCUUCGGCUCGCUCACGGCCGGUCAUGUUGUAAAUAGUACAUAAAUUUCCAUCUACAAGACCCUUCAACUAUUAUUGAAUCGAGUGAGAUGCCGAACAAAAUCUCGAUAUUUACCCUACCUAACUACCAACCUCUCAACGAAGGGUCAUCGCUUGAAACAUCGAAGAUCAGGUAGCUGUAUCUCUCUCAGUACCGUAGGCUGUCUUAUAGAUUAUGUCUGUAAUGUCAAGACCGUAACUAGCGCUAGGGCUUUGCUCCUCCACCCAAAAAAGAUUUUUUACUUUAGGCCGUUUUCCUUUUCCAUUUCAACUGUGCAUGUCGUACCGAAGCGUAUUUCUUUGUUUGCUGAGCACUAUUAGUGGAAUUAAUAACUUUGACACAAAAGAAAAUGCAACGAUACGUUACGAUUGAAGUGGAAAACAGGCUUUAGAAACGCUACUCCCUGCAUUCCGAGAGCAGUUUCUACUAAAACACAAUCUCACAAACAAAGUAAAUGACUAAAAUUUUAUAGUCAAACCUGAGAAUCACAAAUAUUCAUUCUUGGUCGAACAUGAUGAGGUGGAUCAUUUUUAAGUGUUUUUUUUUGUGGUAAUAUUUGGGACGCUAACCCAUGGGUACACCCACGAAAUAUUGACGUUUCAAGCAGCUGAAAAUCGAGCUUCGAGCCCUGCAACAGUAACAGAAAAAAAUUCCAUUCGGAAUUUGAUUUCCUUCUUUGAAUUUGAAGUCUUCCUAUUUUAAUUUUUUUUCACAAAAAUCUUACCGAGUCAACUAAUUUAACUCGUAGCUAGUUACGGGCCUGAAUGUAAUAUAAUGCAAUGCAAAUUUGCAAUGGGACAUUACGCUGGUCAUAUGCAGCAAAUUUUCUCCCAGUACCGCAGGCUCGCAGUUUGCAGCGGACUUGCGGUGAAAAAUUGAAAUUUGUACAGAACUGACCAUUUUGUGUAAGAUGUCCGCUGACAAUACGAGCUCGCACGAGAAAUUUCACUAAAUUUGACCAAUGUUAUUUAAUUUUUUGUCCGCACCACCUAUUGUCUUUUGAGGAUAUUUUGAGGGUCCAAAUUUUAAGGCAGAUCUGCAGAAAUUAAUUCCACAGGAUCAGGUGGGUAGAAAAAACUACUAAAAUUUAUGGAAUUUCCUUGGGUGGGAUUGGUCAAGAACAAAAAGAAAAUUCCAAAGGAUAGAUAAAAUUCAGCAAGACAUUCUCCAAGGGAUAGCUACUAAUCAAGGAACAGAUACGGAAAUUCCACCCGCUAGGUCAGAAACCAUCAAGGAAUUUCCAUGGGAUAGAUUAGAACUUCAUAAAAAAAUGUGCUGAAAUUUCACGGGGAAGGCUAAAAAUGCAUUCAUCUGCAGAAAUUCCAGGGGAGGGGGAGGGACUGAAAAUGCAUGCAUGUCCUCAAUAGGCGGGUUGGUUCAAAAAAUGCGAUAGUCCAGUGCAAUGUAAUGUAAUAAAAUGCAAUGUAAUGAUGUAGUUGCCUAUUUUCGCAUGCAAAUGGCUCUUGUAAGACUUGUAAAGUGGACUGAAGGGUUUUUACCAUUUUUAAAUAAAUGUAAGGCCCCGUCUACAUGAGACCGGGACGAAAUCAAACUUUGACUUCGUUCCAGUCUCGUGUAAAUCCGCCAUUUAACAACGAAUUUCCAGACAGAGACAGUUAUCCGUCUGGCAGUUCCAAAGGAGACAAUUUAGUCCAUUCGUGUGCAUUCUGUAAGACGGAUGUAUUGGAGAAAAUUUGAUAAUAGCAAUCAUAGGUCUUAAUGAUAGUCAAUAAAUAAUCGAGGAAAUCGAUUAUAUCUGGAGCGUUUAAAUUUUAUCCUACGGUUAGCGAGUUUAAUUUUAUGAAUUUGCAACUUUAACACGCCCUAAUUAAACUUAUAUUAUACAGUGAUUGUUAUGUUAUUUGUUGUAUGCAUACAUACACACACAUACAUACAUUCAGUUUAUUCCCCCCAUUGGGGCCUUUUGGUGACCGAUUACAUCAAGUAUUACGCUUACUUAUAUUACCUACUUAGCCUAGACUAUUUAUCUUUGCAACAAUUGUGAUUACUUUUCUACUGUGUUUAUCCUAACCCACCCUGUCAACUUUCCCUUUUGG